UGGCUCAGGACGAACGCUGGCGGCGUGCUUCAUACAUGCAAGUCGAACGAUAAGGCGUCUUCGGACGUACAUAAGUGGCGGACGGGUGAGUAAUAUGUAGAGAAUCUGCCCUAGAGUGGGGGACAACCGUUGGAAACGACAGCUAAUACCCCAUAUGAGCGUAGUUGAGAUACUAUUCUUGAAAACUCCGGUGCUCUGGGAUGAGUCUGCAUCUGAUUAGCUAGUUGGGGGUGUAAUGGACCACCAAGGCGAUGAUCAGUAGCUGGUUUGAGAGGAUGAUCAGCCACAAUGGGACUGAGACACGGCCCAUACUCCUACGGGAGGCAGCAGUAGGGAAUUUUGCGCAAUGGGGGAAACCCUGAACCGCAGCAACGCCGCGUGACCGAUUAAGCCCUUCGGGGUGUAAAGGUCUGUCAGUGGGGACGAAAGAUGACGGUACCCACAGAGGAAGCACCGGCUAACUCCGUGCCAGCAGCCGC
RNAcentral lists this ribosomal RNA (479 nucleotides) under uncultured bacterium. RNAcentral describes it as "bacterial SSU rRNA". It matches the Rfam family "Bacterial small subunit ribosomal RNA", at positions 20 to 518 of the family's 1533-position model. The record is from RNAcentral.